CGUAUACAAUCUACCUUAUAGAGGGGGAUAGCCCAGAGAAAUUUGGAUUAAUACCCCAUAGUAUUAGAAGAUAGCAUUAUCNGAUUAAACAUUUAUGGCUAUAAGAUGAGUAUGCGUUCUAUUAGCUAGAUGGUAAGGUAACGGCUUACCAUGGCAACGAUAGAUAGGGGUCCUGAGAGNAGAUCCCCCACACUGGUACUGAGACACGGACCAGACUCCUACGGGAGGCAGCAGUGAGGAAUAUUGGACAAUGGGCGAGAGCCUGAUCCAGCCAUGCCGCGUGCAGGAAGACGGCCCUAUGGGUUGUAAACUGCUUUUAUACGGGAAGAAACACUCUGACGUGUCAGAGCUUGACGGUACCGUAAGAAUAAGGAUCGGCUAACUCCGUGCCAGCAGCCGCGGUAAUAC
Molecule: ribosomal RNA, 408 nt
Filed under: uncultured marine bacterium
Lineage: Bacteria
Description: bacterial SSU rRNA
Rfam family: Bacterial small subunit ribosomal RNA
Source: RNAcentral